UAGGGAAUCUUCGGCAAUGGACGAAAGUCUGACCGAGCAACGCCGCGUGAGUGAAGAAGGUUUUCGGAUCGUAAAACUCUGUUGUUAGAGAAGAACAAGGACGUUAGUAACUGAACGUCCCCUGACGGUAUCUAACCAGAAAGCCACGGCUAACUACGUGCCAGCAGCCGCGGUAAUACGUAGGUGGCAAGCGUUGUCCGGAUUUAUUGGGCGUAAAGCGAGCGCAGGCGGUUUCUUAAGUCUGAUGUGAAAGCCCCCGGCUCAACCGGGGAGGGUCAUUGGAAGCUGGGAGACUUGAGUGCAGAAGAGGAGAGUGGAAUUCCAUGUGUAGCGGUGAAAUGCGUAGAUAUAUGGAGGAACACCAGUGGCGAAGGCGGCUAUCUGGUCUGUAACUGACGCUGUGGCUCGAAAGAGUGGGGAGCAAACAGG
Molecule: ribosomal RNA, 429 nt
Filed under: Gemmatimonadota bacterium
Lineage: Bacteria; Pseudomonadati; Gemmatimonadota
Description: Gemmatimonadetes bacterium partial 16S ribosomal RNA
Rfam family: Bacterial small subunit ribosomal RNA
Source: RNAcentral